UACAAAAUCUUGUCAUACAUUUUAAAUAUGCAGUGUAUAUUCAAAACAUUUAAUAAAUACACAUUAUAUAAAAAAAAUCUUAUAUUUAGAAGAUAAACUGUACCUUCAGUCAAUAAAUUUAUCAAAGAACGGAAAAAUAUUACAAAAAGAACAUGUAAAAAAAAUAGAAGAAAGGAUCCUCAAAAAUUAAAAUUAAAGAAAAUCAAAGAUCAAGGACAAAAAAUCAUUUCUAAAAAAAUUUCAACGCUCCCACCGUUGUUUCCAGUCAAAGAGAUUAAAGAUGCUAAACAAAACAAAACAGUCUUAAAUGAUACUGCGGAUAAAUUUCCGGAAAUGGAAUCAUCAAAAAUUGUAUCUCCAACCAAGAACUUGAGAAAAAGUAAAUUAAACAAAAUAUUAAUUUAACUAUUUAUUUAAUUUUUAAAUAAAUACAAUAUUUUAACUUAUUUUUCACAAGGAAUCCUACCACAAAUUGUCUCGAUUACUCCCGCAAACGUAACACUGUCAAAUUUUAGUUGUACCACAGGAAAAAAACCAAAAUUGCAAGAGGAAAUACUAUCAGAAAAAAAUUUAAUAAUAUCAACUGAAAUAAUUACAGAGAAUAGCUCUCAAGAAAAAACAUAUUCUGAGAAAUCAGUGGAAAUUACAAUUAAAGGAAAAAAUCCAAACAAUGAAAAUUCUGAAAAAAGAGAAACGAUGCUUGAUAAUCUCCGUUCAUCUAGUGAAGAUAUUUUAGAAGAUGUUAAAUUUGUAAAAAAGCCAAGAAUUAAAAAAAUGUUCAA
This is a long non-coding RNA of Leptopilina boulardi, 782 nucleotides long. RefSeq lists it as uncharacterized. Lineage: Eukaryota; Metazoa; Arthropoda; Insecta; Hymenoptera; Figitidae. The transcript has 3 exons. The record is from RefSeq and is a predicted model, not a curated record.